AGCCUGACGGAGCAACGCCGCGUGAGGGAGGAAGGCCUUAGGGUUGUAAACCUCUUUUCUCUGGGAAGAAGAACUGACGGUACCAGAGGAAUAAGCAUCGGCUAACUCCGUGCCAGCAGCCGCGGUAAGACGGAGGAUGCAAGCGUUAUCCGGAAUUAUUGGGCGUAAAGCGUUCGUAGGUGGCUGUUCAAGUCUGCCGUUAAAGACCGGGGCUUAACUCCGGAAAAACUGUGGAAACUGAACAGCUAGAGUAUGGUAGGGGUAAGGGG
This 269-nucleotide ribosomal RNA is filed under the name uncultured cyanobacterium. Its description in RNAcentral is "partial 16S ribosomal RNA". It matches the Rfam family "Bacterial small subunit ribosomal RNA", at positions 380 to 664 of the family's 1533-position model. The record is from RNAcentral. Lineage: Bacteria; Bacillati; Cyanobacteriota.